Molecule: ribosomal RNA, 253 nt
Filed under: uncultured bacterium
Lineage: Bacteria
Description: partial 16S ribosomal RNA
Rfam family: Bacterial small subunit ribosomal RNA
Source: RNAcentral
UACGUAGGGUGCGAGUGUUGUCCGGAAUUAUUGGGCGUAAAGAGCUCGUAGGCGGUUUGUCACGUCUGCUGUGAAAUCCCGAGGCUCAACCUCGGGCCUGCAGUGGGUACGGGCAGACUGGAGUGCGGUAGGGGAGAAUGGAAUUCCUGGUGUAGCGGUGGAAUGCGCAGAUAUCAGGAGGAACACCGAUGGCGAAGGCAGUUCUCUGGGCCGUAACUGACGCUGAGGAGCGAAAGCGUGGGGAGCGAACAGG